CCUACGGGAGGCAGCAGUGAGGAAUAUUUGUCAAUGGGCGCGAGCCUGAACCAGCCAAGUAGCGUGAAGGAUGACUGCCCUACGGGUUGUAAACUUCUUUUAUCAGGGAAUAAAGUGAGGCACGUGUGCCUUUUUGUAUGUACUUUAUGAAUAAGGAUUGGCUAACUCCGUUCCAGCAGCCGCGGUAAUUCGGAGGAUCCGAACGUUAUCCGGAUUUUUUUGGUUUAAAGGGAGCGUAGAUGGGUUGUUAAGUCAGUUGUGAAAGUUUGCGGCUCAACCGUAAAAUUGCAAUUGAUACUGGCAGUCUUGAGUACAGUUGAGGUAGGCGGAAUGCGUGGUGUAGCGGUGAAAUGCAUAGAUAUCACGAAGAACUCCGAUUGCGAAGGCAGCUUACUAAACUGCCACUGACAUUGAUGCUCGAAAGUGUGGGUAUCAAACAGGAUUAGAUACCCGUGUAGUC
RNAcentral lists this ribosomal RNA (460 nucleotides) under uncultured bacterium. RNAcentral's name for it is "partial 16S ribosomal RNA". It matches the Rfam family "Bacterial small subunit ribosomal RNA", at positions 338 to 795 of the family's 1533-position model. The record is from RNAcentral.